RNAcentral lists this ribosomal RNA (525 nucleotides) under uncultured bacterium. Its description in RNAcentral is "bacterial SSU rRNA". It matches the Rfam family "Bacterial small subunit ribosomal RNA", at positions 21 to 518 of the family's 1533-position model. The record is from RNAcentral.
GGCUCAGGACGAACGCUGGCGGCGUGCCUAAUACAUGCAAGUCGAACGGUCUUUCUAUGGAAGCUUGCUUCCACUGAGAAGAUAGUGGCGAACGGGUGAGUAACACGUGGGUAACCUGCCCAUAAGAGGGGGGAUAACAUCCGGAAACGGGUGCUAAUACCGCAUAGUUUUCUUGAUCGCAUGAUUGAGAAAGGAAAGACGGCCUUUGUGCUGUCGCUUAUGGAUGGACCCGCGGCGUAUUAGUUAGUUGGUGAGGUAACGGCUCACCAAGACGAUGAUACGUAGCCGACCUGAGAGGGUGAUCGGCCACAUUGGGACUGAGACACGGCCCAAACUCCUACGGGAGGCAGCAGUAGGGAAUCUUCCGCAAUGGACGAAAGUCUGACGGAGCAACGCCGCGUGAGUGAAAGAAGGUUUUCGGAUCGUAAAACUCUGUUGUCAGAGAAGAACAAGUUGGAGAGUAACUGCUCCAGCCUUGACGGUAUCUGACCAGAAAGCCACGGCUAACUACGUGCCAGCCGCGGC